RNAcentral lists this small RNA (118 nucleotides) under bovine gut metagenome. RNAcentral's name for it is "RT-4 RNA". It matches the Rfam family "RT-4 RNA". The record is from RNAcentral.
UACACCUCUGACGGUUGAAAUACCGUUUACUCACCGUUACCGGGAGGAUAAGUGGAAAUGAGACCGAUACAGGGCGGGGCGUAAAGCGGUCGCACCUGCGUCCCCGUAGGCGAUAGAA